Molecule: long non-coding RNA, 1258 nt
Organism: Oncorhynchus keta (chum salmon)
Lineage: Eukaryota; Metazoa; Chordata; Actinopteri; Salmoniformes; Salmonidae
Exons: 4
Source: RefSeq, a predicted model, not a curated record
CAGUUCAAACCACAUUUGAAAAAUAAAACAUGUGGCUCGUUGAUCAAGUGUUCUGCCUUGCAAUAACAUAACAAAACAAAAACAGCAAAAUGCUGAGACAGGUUUUGAUUAACAAAAUAAUCAGUGCUAUUUAGUACCAUAAUGGUAUUUACUAACAAUAUUAUUACUAUAAACAGUUUCUAAAAUAAUUCGGGUUAAGGUUAAUGCUAAAAUAGGUAAUACAUAGUGUUAGAUGAUGAUGUAAAAAGGUCUUUAUAAAUACAUUUGAUUGAUUGUUAGGUUCAGGGAUUUUAAGGUAAAAAACAUUAUGGGUUUAUAGGUCUCUUGCUCCUCCCUGUGGCCUUCUGUGUGUACUACAUAUUUCAUUCACGACACCUGCUAGGCUCAUAAUCUGAAAUAGCAACUGCGUCAGAUCUACAAAUCAAUGAGCUGGACCUGUCCAUUUGUUUUCUAACUCAGUGAAACUGCGCAGCUUUCACUCAAUCCGAUGUCUACGAACGAACAUUUCGAUGCUUAUCAAAUUACCCAGCAGCCAUUUAGAAACAACAAGUAGUCAAAACAAGUGUUAUUUCUUAAUUAAAAAAUGUCUUCUGGCUGUUUAAAUCGGCCUCAUCUUGAAAAAGAGGACAGGUUUUGUUUAGGUUGUAUACCUUUUUCUGAAAACAAAUAUGCUUAACCAUGACCAGAAAAUGUUUAAGGUUUAGCACUGUGGGUCACCAUAUUAAAUUAAAGCUAUGCAUGAGGUCUCUAGUCCCACCUCGUGAGCUAGUAGAUAAGAGUUAACAGCAGGUGUCCUAAGUAGUUAAGAGUUAACAGCAGCUGUCCUAAGUAGUUAAGAGUUAACAGCAGGUGUCCUAAGUAGUUAAGAGUUAACAGCAGCUGUCCUAAGUAGUUAAGAGUUAACAGCAGGUGUCCUAAGUAGUUAAGAGUUAACAGCAGGUGUCCUAAGUAGUUAAGAGUUAACAGCAGGUGUCCUAAGUAGUUAAGAGUUAACAGCAGCUGUCCUAAGUAGUUAAGAGUUAACAGCAGGUGUCCUAAGUAGUUAAGAGUUAACAGCAGGUGUCCUAAGUAGUUAAGAGUUAACAGCAGCUGUCCUAAGUAGUUAAGAGUUAACAGCAGGUGUCCUAAGUAGUUAAGAGUUAACAGCAGGUGUCCUAAGUAGUUAAGAGUUAACAGCAGGUGUCCUAAGUAGUUAAGAGUUAACAGCAGGUGUCCUAAGUAGUUAAGAGUUAACAGCAGGUGUCCUAAGUAGUUAAGA